RNAcentral lists this ribosomal RNA (429 nucleotides) under Roseovarius sp. M04A31. Its description in RNAcentral is "bacterial SSU rRNA". It matches the Rfam family "Bacterial small subunit ribosomal RNA", at positions 973 to 1423 of the family's 1533-position model. Lineage: Bacteria; Pseudomonadati; Pseudomonadota; Alphaproteobacteria; Rhodobacterales; Roseobacteraceae. The record is from RNAcentral.
ACCAUCCCUUGACAUACUUGUCGCGGAUCGGGAGACCGAUCUUUCAGUUCGGCUGGACAAGAUACAGGUGCUGCAUGGCUGUCGUCAGCUCGUGUCGUGAGAUGUUGGGUUAAGUCCCGCAACGAGCGCAACCCUCGCCAUUAGUUGCCAGCAUUCAGUUGGGCACUCUAGUGGAACCGCCGGUGAUAAGCCGGAGGAAGGUGGGGAUGACGUCAAGUCCUCAUGGCCCUUACGGGAUGGGCUACACACGUGCUACAAUGGCAGUGACAAUGGGUUAAUCCCCAAAAGCUGUCUCAGUUCGGAUUGGGGUCUGCAACUCGACCCCAUGAAGUUGGAAUCGCUAGUAAUCGCGUAACAGCAUGACGCGGUGAAUACGUUCCCGGGCCUUGUACACACCGCCCGUCACACCAUGGGAGUUGGGUUUACCCG